This 253-nucleotide ribosomal RNA is filed under the name uncultured bacterium. Its description in RNAcentral is "partial 16S ribosomal RNA". It matches the Rfam family "Bacterial small subunit ribosomal RNA", at positions 524 to 776 of the family's 1533-position model. The record is from RNAcentral.
UACAGGGGGGGCAAGCGUUGUUCGGAAUUACUGGGCGUAAAGGGCCAGUAGGCGGCCAACUAAGUCACACGUGAAAUCCCCAGGCUUAACCUGGGAACUGCGUCGGAUACUGGAUGGCUUGAAUUCGGGAGAGGGAUGCAGAAUUCCAGGUGUAGCGGUGAAAUGCGUAGAUAUCUGGAGGAAUACCGGUGGCGAAGGCGGCAUCCUGGACCGACAUUGACGCUGAUGAGCGAAAGCUAGGGGAGCAAACGGG